UAGCACUUUAUAACUAUAUGUAUACCUGUUUUAAAACAAUUUUUUCUUUAACUAUAAUCAUUGAAUUCUAAGUAGUGUCAUACUAUUGGCAUGAAAGAUUUACUAAAGCUACAACAAUGUGCAUUACGAUAUGAACACAGGAGAUGCAGAGGACGAAGGUGAUCCCAAACGCUGUGUGGCGCAACAUACAGGACCACUCAGAGGGCUGACCAAUGAAACACAGGGCAGACAGUCAAAGCAGCAGAUGGGCAUGCCUUUCUUUCUGGCUCUUCUGGUUCCCAGAGGGCAGCUUUCACUGCACACAGACCUCGGUGGCUAAGAAAUGGAGAGUCCAGACUCAUCAGCAAUGCAUUACUUCAGCUUUCCAGAACAGAGCAUCCUCAUUCAAUGUAAGGACAUGGUCUGUCUGUGCAGCUUCAUCCACCACACCAACUGUGUGGACCCUGAUUGACC
Pangasianodon hypophthalmus (striped catfish) is the source of this 453-nucleotide long non-coding RNA. RefSeq lists it as uncharacterized. The record is from RefSeq and is a predicted model, not a curated record. Lineage: Eukaryota; Metazoa; Chordata; Actinopteri; Siluriformes; Pangasiidae. The transcript has 4 exons.